This 469-nucleotide ribosomal RNA is filed under the name uncultured bacterium. RNAcentral's name for it is "partial 16S ribosomal RNA". It matches the Rfam family "Bacterial small subunit ribosomal RNA", at positions 28 to 507 of the family's 1533-position model. The record is from RNAcentral.
GACGAACGCUGGCGGCGUGCUUAACACAUGCAAGUCGAACGGAAAGGCCCUGCUUGCAGGGUGCUCGAGUGGCGAACGGGUGAGUAACACGUGGUUGAUCUGCCCCUUACUUUGGGAUAAGCCUGGGAAACUGGGUCUAAUACUGGAUAGGACCAUGCUGUAGGUGGUGUGGUGGAAAGAUUAGUUUCGGUAAGGGAUGAGCUCGCGGCCUAUCAGCUUGUUGGUGGGGUAAUGGCCUACCAAGGCGUCGACGGGUAGCCGGCCUGAGAGGGUGGACGGCCACAUUGGGACUGAGACACGGCCCAGACUCCUACGGGAGGCAGCAGUGGGGAAUAUUGCACAAUGGGAGCAAGCCGGAUGCAGCGACGCCGCGUGGGGGAUGACGGCCUUCGGGUUGUAAACUCCUUUCAGCCAUGACGAAGCCCUUGUGGUGACGGUAGUGGUAGAAGAAGCACCGGCUAACUACGUG